AACGAACGCUGGCGGCAUGCCUAACACAUGCAAGUCGAACGAGACCUUCGGGUCUAGUGGCGCACGGGUGCGUAACGCGUGGGAACCUGCCCUUAGGUUCGGAAUAACUCCCCGAAAGGGGUGCUAAUACCGGAUAAUGUCAUCGGACCAAAGAUUUAUCGCCUUUGGAUGGGCCCGCGUUGGAUUAGCUAGUUGGUAGGGUAAAAGCCUACCAAGGCGACGAUCCAUAGCUGGUCUGAGAGGAUGAUCAGCCACACUGGGACUGAGACACGGCCCAGACUCCUACGGAAGGCAGCAGUGGGGAAUAUUGGACAAUGGGCGAAAGCCUGAUCCAGCAAUGCCGCGUGAGUGAUGAAGGCCUUAGGGUUGUAAAGCUCUUUUACCCGAGAUGAUAAUGACAGUACCGGGAGAAUAAGCUCCGGCUAACUCCGUG
Molecule: ribosomal RNA, 433 nt
Filed under: uncultured bacterium
Lineage: Bacteria
Description: partial 16S ribosomal RNA
Rfam family: Bacterial small subunit ribosomal RNA
Source: RNAcentral